RNAcentral lists this long non-coding RNA (2823 nucleotides) under Sus scrofa (pig). Its description in RNAcentral is "lncRNA (ENSSSCG00015043730.1)". Lineage: Eukaryota; Metazoa; Chordata; Mammalia; Artiodactyla; Suidae. The record is from RNAcentral.
UUAGAACAGGUGUUCUAUAAACCGUAAAUGAAUAAAUGUACACUUAUAGCAGAUUUCAUCAAAAUUUAUUCAAGUUUAUUCAAAUUUGAGAAAGAAUCCCACCCGUUAAGUGUACAGGCUUCCAUUUUGUUUCAAAUUAAGACACAUAUUAAACUUAAGGUAGAGUGUCUUUUAGUAAAUUUCAUCAAAAUCAGUCAACUGUUUCACGAACACAGCAAAAUAAGUCAAUGCUAUGUUGGGUAUCAAGAAGUAAAACCAUUGUUCUUCCAUAUCCUUGCAAGAUAUUCUUAAAACCUUUGGUAGUUCAGUAUGGAUAAGUGUAGCACACACCUCUCAUACAUCGUAUCCCAUUUCACCAGUUCAUAUCUGAUUUCUGCUGCAAUUAGAAAGGACUGUUCAAGGAGUUCCUGUCAUGGCUCAGUGGUAACUAAUCUGACUAGCAUCCAUGAGCACGCAGGUUUGAUCUCUGGCUUUGCUCAGUGGGUUAAGGAUCCAGUGUUGCAGUGAGCUGUGGUACAGGUCACACAUGCGGCUUGGAUCUGACAUUGCUGUAGCUGUGGUGUAGGCUGGCUGCUGCAGCUCCAGUUUGACCCAUAGCUUGGGAACUUCCAUAUGCUGUGGGCGUGGCCCUCAAAAGACAAAAAAAAAAGGAACUCUUCAGUCUGGUAUUUGCCCUCUACCUUCUGCCUCUGGGAGCCCUCUAGCUAGGCUGCAAGCUAGGAAGUGCAGGCCUUUACUGUCCCUAGGGGACCACUCAGCCAGCGGAUGAAGAGUCUGUGAAUGCAUCAGCCACCCAUCUUUAAGACAUUCUGAACAACUUUCAGGUGGUGUGGAAAAUUGAGUCCCUAUUUUCCACAUCUGUGUAUUUGGUAUUGGUUUUUUUUUUUUUUUCUUUUUAGGGCUGCACCCAUGGCAUGUGGAAGUUCCCAGGCUACGGGUUGAAUUAAGAGCUGUAGCUGCUGGCCUACACCACAGGCAUAGCAACGUGGGAUCCGAGCCACAUCUGUGACCUACACCACAGUACACGGCAACACUGUAUCCUUAACCCACUGAGUAAGGCCAGGGAGCGAACCCAUGUCCUCAUGGAUCCUAGUCAGGAUCAUUAACCACUGAGCCACGAAGGGAACUCCUGGUUUUGGGUCUUUAUAUUGGUCUUUUCCUUCUCUUUCCCUCCCUGUUGCUUCCUAGACUCAUCUUCUUCACCCAAGUCCUUGUCUCAGUCUCUGCAUACGGGGGACCUAAACUAAGAUAGUAAUACAUACUCUCUAUAUCUAGUCAGUUAAAUAAAUCAGCCUGCCUAGGUAGGUUAGUUUGCUCUUAUUUCAAAGUGAAUAUUUUAACUUUUUAAAAAUUUUCAGCCAGUUACUGUGUACCUAUUAUGUGUUCAACACUAUACCUAGAUUUGUGAGAGAGCACAAUGAAAAAAAUCAUGAAGUUUGCCCUCAGAAGAUCAGGUUUCAGUCUUUGCUUUUCUGUACACUGUCUAGUACCUGCAAAAUUGCUUAAAUUCCCUAAACCUGACCUAUAGAAUAAGCAAAAUAAUAAUAAUGCCUCUUUCUGAGGAAAGGGAAAAAUAUUGCCAAUAUUUAAUUAACCAUGAUAGUAUAACACAUGUGGUCUAAACUAUAAAGUAUAUUAUAUAACCAUAGAACAUUAUCUGGUGUUGGUUUCUCCCUCUUGUGAAGGUUGUAAAUGCAUUGAAGCCAUGGAAUAUAUUUUAUAUUUUUCUAAUCCUCAGAAAUACAUAACAGUACUGGGUAUAUAUGAGUCAAUUAAUAAAUUAUAUAUUAGCAAAAAAUAUGCAAUUGUUGUCUGGAGAAGUGACACAACUGGGGUGCUCACUUUUCAUUUCAAGUUACUUGUAGAUAUGUUUUCUAGGCACCUGAUUUUUAUGCUAAAUAAAAUAGUAUAUUAGUUUCAUAGUUGUAAAUGAUUGUAUGUGUGUAUGUGAAAUAGAGAGAAAGAGGGAGAAAUGGGGAAGGGGGGAAAACAGAGACAGAGAGAAAAUCGGUCCAAGAAUGGCUAUUUAUCUUUACCCAAAAAUUGUAUCUUUAGUGACAAGAAGAUUCUAUAGAGGUGGGAGAUGAAUGGUAGCAUGCAGAAUAAAUCUACUAAGUGUUAAUCCGUUUCAAGAAUGAGUUCAAAGCAACUAAAUCAAGGCUCAACCUCGAAAUUUGAGCAAAUUGAUUUAGAUGGUUAUUCCAAGAAAGCAAGCAAACAAAGGCCAGUGGGAUAGAGGUUGAGUAUAAACAUUUGUGCUCUUACAAUAAUGUGACCUCAGUAAAUUUUUCAAAGUUUUCUCCAAAUAACUUGGAAUUUCCAAAGGACCCUUAUGCAGUACAUCUGGAAAUAACCAAAAACUAGAAAUGUGGUUCUUUGUUAUGGAAAAUAAACUGAAAGUAAUACUAAUCAAUUUUCACAGAAAAUGUCUUAAAUCAUUUCUUCCUGCCUAAUGGGUUUAUCUUUGUGGUCUACCCUCUCUAGUUGUGGGAACAGGUUAUAUACCUGGCUGAGAUCUUUAGACCAGAGUUAGAUCCAGGCUUUAGAAGUAAUGGGAAUGGGGGAGUUCCCGUCGUGGCGCAGUGGUUAACGAAUCCGACUAGGAGCCAUGAGGUUGCGGGUUCGGUCCCUGCCCUUGCUCAGUGGGUUAACGAUCCGGUGUUGCCGUGAGCUGUGGUGUAGGUUGCAGACGCAGCUCGGAUCCCGCAUUGCUGUGGCUCUGGCGUAGGCCGGUGGCUACAACUCCGAUUCAACCCCUAGCCUGGGAACCUCCAUAUGCCGCGGGAGCGGCCCAAGAAAUAGCAACAACAACAACAACAACAA